Molecule: ribosomal RNA, 207 nt
Filed under: uncultured bacterium
Lineage: Bacteria
Description: partial 16S ribosomal RNA
Rfam family: Bacterial small subunit ribosomal RNA
Source: RNAcentral
CACGUAGGCGGUUAUUCAAGUCAGAGGUGAAAGCCCGGGGCUCAACCCCGGAACGGCCUUUGAAACUAGAUAGCUAGAAUCUUGGAGAGGUCAGUGGAAUUCCGAGUGUAGAGGUGAAAUUCGUAGAUAUUCGGAAGAACACCAGUGGCGAAGGCGACUGACUGGACAAGUAUUGACGCUGAGGUGCGAAAGCGUGGGGAGCAAACA